Molecule: ribosomal RNA, 774 nt
Filed under: uncultured Neocallimastigales
Lineage: Eukaryota; Fungi; Neocallimastigomycota; Neocallimastigomycetes; Neocallimastigales
Description: partial large subunit ribosomal RNA
Rfam family: Eukaryotic large subunit ribosomal RNA
Source: RNAcentral
UAUCUCUGUAGAGUCUGCAUAUCAAUAAGCGGAGGAAAAGAAACUAACAAGGAUUCCCUUAGUAACGGCGAGUGAAGCGGGAAGAGCUCAAAUUUGAAAUCUUCAAGGUUUUACCUUGACGAAUUGUAGUUUAAAGAAGUGUUUUCUGUUGAAGUUUCGGUAAAAGUUCUUUGGAAUAGGACAUCAUAGAGGGUGAGAAUCCCGUAUUUGACCGUUAUUUUCAGCUGUGUGAUACACUUUCAAAGAGUCGGAUUGUUUGGGAAUGCAGUCCAAAAUGGGUGGUAAAUUUCAUCUAAAGCUAAAUAUUGGCGAGAGACCGAUAGCGAACAAGUACCGUGAGGGAAAGAUGAAAAGAACUUUGAAAAGAGAGUUAAACAGUACGUGAAAUUGUCAAAAGGGAAGCGUUUGACACCAGUGUUGUUUUCUCGAAAAUCAAUUAAAAAUGGCAGGAUUUUGUGUUGUAUUGACUUUAUCAGCUUUCUGCACUUUUUUCUUGUCUUUUUUAAUGCACUUUUCGUUUAACAAGUCAACAUCAAUUUCUUUUGCUGUAAAAAGGUCAUUGGAAGGUGGCUUUCUUUUCGGAGAAAGUGUUUAUAGCCUUUGACUCCUGCAAUCGGAGAGAUUGAGGUCUGCAGCGUAGAUCCUUCGGGGUUAGAUGCAUUUGUGCUAAGCUAUAGCCUUUCAUAGACAACUUGUUGACUAUGAUCAGUCAUGUAGCUUACUCGCUUAUGCUAUUUUACCUACGCUUAGGAUGUUGAUCUCUCACAGUCGAGC